Molecule: transfer RNA, 74 nt
Filed under: Candidatus Zhuqueibacterota bacterium
Lineage: Bacteria; Pseudomonadati
Description: candidate division KSB1 bacterium (freshwater sediment metagenome) tRNA-Arg
Rfam family: tRNA
About the family: Transfer RNA (tRNA) molecules are approximately 80 nucleotides in length. Their secondary structure includes four short double-helical elements and three loops (D, anti-codon, and T loops).
Source: RNAcentral
GCGCCCGUGGCUCAAUUGGAUAGAGCAUCUGGCUACGGACCAGAAGGUUAGGGGUUCGAGUCCCUUCGGGCGUA